This 240-nucleotide unclassified non-coding RNA is filed under the name soil metagenome. RNAcentral's name for it is "partial contains 5.8S ribosomal RNA, internal transcribed spacer 2, and large subunit ribosomal RNA". The record is from RNAcentral.
AACAUCGCGCACCUGCGGGAACCUGCGGAGGGAUCAUUACCGAGUGUGAACCCCCCCGUAAAAAAGAGGGGUUACCUCCCGUCCUUUGCUGGGAACCCCUUUCCAACUUGGAAGGAGGUUGUUUUCAGACCCUUCUGCUUCGGUGGGGUAACCCACCGGAACAACCUCAAAAAUAUUCUCAAUUCAAAACCGUUCAGUCCGAGAACUUUUUUGAAAAGCGAAAAAACUUUCAACAAUGGA